Molecule: ribosomal RNA, 497 nt
Filed under: uncultured bacterium
Lineage: Bacteria
Description: partial 16S ribosomal RNA
Rfam family: Bacterial small subunit ribosomal RNA
Source: RNAcentral
GAUGAACGCUGGCGGCGUGCUUAACACAUGCAAGUCGAACGAAGCACUCUACUUGAUCUCUUCGGAGUGAUUGUUUUGUGACUGAGUGGCGGACGGGUGAGUAACGCGUGGGUAACCUGCCUCAUACAGGGGGAUAACAGUUGGAAACGACUGCUAAUACCGCAGAAGCGCACAGCAGCGCAUGAUGCAGUGUGAAAAACUCCGGUGGUAUGAGAUGGACCCGCGUCUGAUUAGCCAGUUGGUGGGGUAACGGCCUACCAAAGCGACGAUCAGUAGCCGACCUGAGAGGGUGACCGGCCACAUUGGGACUGAGACACGGCCCAAACUCCUACGGGGGGCAGCAGUGGGGAAUAUUGCACAAUGGGGGAAACCCUGAUGCAGCGACGCCGCGUGAGCGAAGAAGUAUUUCGGUAUGUAAAGCUCUAUCAGCAGGGAAGAAGAAAUGACGGUACCUGACUAAGAAGCACCGGCUAAAUACGUGCCAGCCGCCGCCGUAA